GGGGUUGUAGCUCAGUGAUAAAGCGCUUGCCUUGCACACAUGGGGCCCUGGGUUCGAUCCUCAGCACCA
This 69-nucleotide transfer RNA is filed under the name Ictidomys tridecemlineatus (thirteen-lined ground squirrel). RNAcentral's name for it is "Spermophilus tridecemlineatus (thirteen-lined ground squirrel) tRNA". It matches the Rfam family "tRNA". Rfam says of the family: Transfer RNA (tRNA) molecules are approximately 80 nucleotides in length. Their secondary structure includes four short double-helical elements and three loops (D, anti-codon, and T loops). Further hydrogen bonds mediate the characteristic L-shaped molecular structure. tRNAs have two regions of fundamental functional importance: the anti-codon, which is responsible for specific mRNA codon recognition, and the 3' end, to which the tRNAs corresponding amino acid is attached (by aminoacyl-tRNA synthetases). tRNAs cope with the degeneracy of the genetic code in two manners: having more than one tRNA (with a specific anti-codon) for a particular amino acid; and 'wobble' base-pairing, i.e. permitting non-standard base-pairing at the 3rd anti-codon position. Lineage: Eukaryota; Metazoa; Chordata; Mammalia; Rodentia; Sciuridae. The record is from Rfam by way of RNAcentral.